This 474-nucleotide ribosomal RNA is filed under the name Triticum aestivum (bread wheat). Its description in RNAcentral is "partial small subunit ribosomal RNA". Lineage: Eukaryota; Viridiplantae; Streptophyta; Magnoliopsida; Poales; Poaceae. The record is from RNAcentral.
AUGGCCAAGCAAGUAUAUGAGUGCAAUUGGGUUCCUUCUCGCGUCACAGAGGCUCAGCUAGACGAUUUAGUCCUGAUCGGCGCUUUAGGCAGCAAAGAUACCAUCCAUUGGAGGGCUCCUAGCAAAGAAUGCCCUCCCACACCUCAAGAAGGAGAGGUUGUUGUUUUCGUAGAUCACUUAGCCCGGGGCUUUAAGCUGCCCGGUUCUAAAUUUUACCGGGAUGUUUUAGCCGAUUUCCAACUCCAUCCACAAGACACUGGCCCCAACUCUGUUACAAAUAUGUGUCACUUCCAAGUGCUCUGUGAGGCGUUCUUUCAAGAUGAGCCCAUAGUGGAAUUGUUCAGGGACCUUUUCCAUCUAAACCGCCGCACUGAGUUUACUGACGGCUCCAAUACGGAGUUGGGUGGCGUGGCGAUCCAGAAAAGGAAAGAGGUCACAUACCCUCACGCCAAACUGCACAGCCACCCCAAAUAA